CGUUUACAUAUCUUUAAAUAUAUCGUUCAUGGAGACGAUAUGCGAACACCUGCGCAAUGGCAUGUUAUUUAAAUUAUACAAAGUCAUGCAGGUUUAUUACUCUGCUUGUGCUCAAAGAAGAAAAAAGAAUUUAAUGCUUAUUGAAUGAGAGGUAGGCAAAACUAUUUAACAUGUUUACAAAAUUUACAAAGAAGAAAUGCAAAGAAUAUUUUUUGUUUAAGCGAUAUAAAUGAUCUGUGUAUUCAAUCCUGGUAAAUGCUUGAACAUAUGGUAAAGACAUAAUAAACAUCGAACUAAGGAUUCUCUACCCCAGGAACUGAUUACAUUAACUGUCAUCAAGCAUCAUACUUUAUGAAGUGUUUUUACUGUGUUAUUACGACUAUGACUGAUGAGUUCUUGUCUAGAUUAAACGUGCGUCUGACUUUCAAAAUUAUAAGCCUGAUAUUUUUGACGAUUUUCUUGUAACCUCUGAGUGGAUGCUACUGAUGUUUGAAUAAUUAACUUGUGUUACCUGAUUUUCAAAAAACAUUCGAAGUUUGUGUACCCAUGCGUUUCAACCUUUUGGCCAUUGAACUUUGUGAUUCAAGCGUGUCACUGAUGAGUAGUUUUUCUGGGGUACACAAUUAAAAGACUGAUAUUUUUUAUUAUUUUUAACAUAUGGUUAUCAUAGUAACGUUGACUAUGUCAUAAAUAUUUCUUAAAAGCGAUGGGGUUUAAUUUUCAUAAGCUAUAUAAUAAAUCCGUUUUCCGGAAAUUCAAAUGGUUAUUUCAUCCAGACAUGAUGAGUUUUCAUAAUUUGGUAUGCAAGUGAGGACACAGAUCAUCGUGGAUAAUAUAUUUGGAUAUUUGACAGUAUUUUCUAACAAAAAGAGUUUUCUGCUUUUGUUUGAUAAACUGAGUUUCACUGUGACAGCCAACGUGUACCAAACCUCUUGAAAUAAGCAGUGUCGUUUAUCUAAGGAUUGAUUAGUUUUAAUGUUCAAAACUGUAAUGGAAGAGACAAUUAUUACAUAUGCUAUCAAUGAUUAGGAUAUAUUAUUAUCCACAACUUUGAAUUUGCAUUUGCAUUAAAAAUUCUAAAUCAGGAGAAGAACUCAUUCGAUGAUUUUCUACAUGAUGUGAUUUUAUUAUGUAUGAUUGUAUAUAAUAACUGGCAUAAAACCUCAAAGUAUAUUGCAAAUGUCAUACAAUUUAGAGGUUUAUCGCUAUUAACCAGGUUCAAUCCACCAUUUUCUAGAUAAGAAAAUGUCUCUACCAAGUCAGAAAUAUCACAGUUGUUGUCCAUUCGUUUGAAGUGUUUGAGCUUUAAUUUUGCCAUUUGAUUAGGGACUUUCCGUUUUGAAUUUUCCUCGGAGUUCAGUACUUUGUGAUUUUACCUUUUGCCAUCUUAUUUAACAUGGUAUGUUAAAGUGUAUUGACUUACUUCAUACUUAUACAUAUACUGUAUGAUUGUAUAGUUAUUGAGACAAAUCCAUGCACCAGGAGGUUCAAAAGUAUUCGUUUGUUGUUGUGGUUCAUAUGUGUUUUUGGUUUCUCGUAUUUUUUAAUAGAUUCAAUCGUUGUUUUUCCGUUUUGAAUGGUUUUUAUAAUUGUCAUUUUUGGGACCCGUUAUAACUUAAUGUUCGGUGUAAACCAAGGCUCUGUGUUGAAGACAGUACUUUGACCUAUAAUCAUUAUUGUUUAAAUUUGCAAAUUUUGUAAGUUUUACUUUUAAUUUUUUUUUCAUCACGGCGGCGCUGGUUAGUCUUGUGUGGACGUGGCGCGCGUCUGGCGUAUUUAAUUUUUAACCAGGUACCUGUUGUUGGCCAUUAAUCGUUUGUUUCUCUGUCCUAUAUUUUUUGCCAUUUAUUUGUAUUGUAGUCCUAUCAUGUAAUGUUUUCAUUUUAAUGUUACAAUUGACAUUACCAUUAAAGCGGGAGGUUUGGCAUGCAACAAAACCAGGUAUAACCCACCAUUUUUUUUUCUUCAAAUGCCCUGUACCAAGUCCGGGAAAUGGCAAUUGUUAUAUUAUAGUUCGUGUCUGUGUGUGUUACAUUUUAAUGUUGUGUUCCUGUUGUGUCGUAGUUCUCUUAUAUUUGAUGCUUUUCCCUCGGUUUUAGUUUGUAUCUCGGAUGUGUUUUUUCUCUAUCGACUUAUGAAUUUCGAACAGCGGUAUACUACUGUUGUCUUUAUUUGACUUGAAUGAGAGAAUUGUCUCAUUUGUACUGAUAACAAAUCUUCUUAGUUCUAUCACUGCCAGCGAAAAGAAACACUAGUUUACAAUUUUAAUCCUUUGGUAAAAGUUAUUGCCAUACGACGAUUGUUAGUUUGUUUGGUCGUCAAUAUCAAAUACUAUGUUAAAAAGAACCUUAUUCAUCUCACUAUCCAACUGCUCCUCUGUAUCUAUAUCUAACAACGUUCCUUUUUAUCAAGAAUAAAUAAUAUCUUCCCAUUUCUUUGAGCGAGUUUACGAGUGAGACAUUGAUUACCAAUUGGUUGUCACUGCUGCAAUGACGUUUGGUAAUUUACCAUUACAUUUGAAUUUUAUGAGCUUUUUGUUUUAACGACAACCGUUUUUCCUUUUUCAAUUCUUCAAAUAUAAUUAUUGUAAACAGAGAGAAAGAUUAUUAAUGAAAAUAUUAAUGUAUAAUGCAUUUGUUGUUUUAAUCACUUGUCUAUUAUGAACAUAAUGCUCAAAUAUCUUUCAAAUUAUAUAAUUAAAAUACCUAACUGUUAAAAAAACAAAUGAUCGACAUUGAUCGUGGCAAGAAAUUGAGAAUAGAUACAACCGUCAACUGACAAUUUAUAAGUGUUUUUGUCCUUAAGUAAAGAUGUUGACAGAUGUCGGUAUAUUUCUGAACUUUUAAUGGUUAAACAGAUGUCAUACACACCUAAAUUAAGCAAAAAAUUUAAUAUCUACAAAAGCCACCAUUGAUUAAAAAAUAUCUAUGUUUUGCCUUUCGUAAAGUUUUAAGAAAAUAAAAAUAAACAGAAACAGAAUGCAUCAACAUGAUAACAAACAUUUAAGAUCAAAAUACCGGUUAUUGAAACAUCACGUUUCUGUAGUGGCUAUUACUAUUCUUCUAAGUACUACCUGCUAUCUACUGAUUGUAGUUUGGUAAUCUUCCAAUAGAAUAAUUUUUAGAAAGACAAAUCAAACCCAUGAAAGUGUAGACCGACAAACAUCAUCAACGACUUACAACUGCCAUACAAGUUGAGUUUUUAGCUAGUAUAAAACCAGGUUUAAUCAACCAUUUUAUACAUAAGGGAAUGCAUGUACAAAAUCUGGAAUAUGACAGUUAUUUCCCAUUCGUUUGAUGUGUAUGAGCUUUUGAUUUUGCCAUUUGAUAAUGGACUUUCCGUUUUUUAUUUUCCUUUAAAUUCGGUAUUUUUGAUAUUUUACUUUGUAGAGUGUCUUAAAAAAUGAGAAUAUGAUUAAUCACAAGUUUGCUCCCAGUUAGGUUUGAUUAAAGAUAUGACAUUUCUAGCUCUAAAGUCUGUUAUCUCGAAAAUAAGAAAUAAAAAGAGUAGACAGAAGGUUUUAACAAUUAAUAUUAUUUUCAAGACUAGAUUUAUGUACACAUUUCUUGACAUAGAUUGUCAAGUGGUAUUUUAUUUUAGUCAUUAGCAUUCAAAAUUUACUUUUUAUUAACUGUAGUUAAUUUUUGAUUUUUAUAAAAAAAAAAAAUAUUACUAGUUGGAAUUGAAACAGCUAAAAUGAUACACAAACUCAUUGAGAUCAAAAGUUCAUUUCUUGUAUAUAAUCAGAGUGGUGCAUCGGGAUCCUGUUGUUUAGAGAACUAUGUUCUUGUCAAAUGAGUAAAAUAGUUUCUGAUACCUUGGGCCUGAAAUAAUACUUGUUACAGUAAUGGAAAUGUAUCUUAUUUUACAGAUUCCUUCAACUAUAUUUUUAUUAUGUGAAGUUCAUGUUUGAUGGUAGGCUAGUUGAUGCUGCUUGUUAUUUUUUACUACUAUAACAAUUACCUUGUAUUUUUAUAAUCAUUACUUAUCUUCUUUUUGUAGAGUUUUCUUUAUGGCGUCAUCCUUCCACAGCUGUGGUGUGUGUGAACUCCGACUCAUCACCAAUUCAUGCAUAGUCUGGUGUACGGAAUGUGAUGAAGGACUAUGUAAAGAAUGUCAUGAACAUCAUAGAUUGUCAAAGGCUUCGAGGAACCAUAGUGUGAUACCAUUUACGGAUUACCAAAAAUUACCGACAGAUGUUCUGAAAAUCAGUCAAUACUGUAGCAAACACAAUAAAAAGUUUGAAAUGUUUUGCCAGAAACACGAACGACCUUGCUGCAGUAAAUGUAUAGUAGAAACACUUAAAGAAUGUCGGGAUAUCGUCGAUUUAGAUGACGUAAUUAAGAAUUACGAAACCCCCAGUGCCCCAUCUGAGAUUGAGAAAACAUUAGUUGAACUAGCAGAAAAUCUACAAAAAAUUCGCCAAUAUCAACAUGACAAUAUGUCGACUUUGAAAGAAAAAAGAAAGAAAAUUGAAAAAGAAAUUACGAGGACAAGAACGGAGAUCAACAACCAUCUCAAUAAAAUUGAAGAAGAUUUUAUGAAACAACUCUAUGUCCUCGAAGAAAAAGAAAACUCGAAAAUUGGUCAGUUAUUGUCAUUAUUAGAAAAGAAAGAAAAUGAAGUUGAAGAAUGCCAGAAAUAUAUUAUUAACAUCAAACAACAUGCCACAAAUCUUCAGAUGUUCUUUUCAGUGAAACAAAUCGAGGAAGACGUCUCUAACAAAGAUAAAUUCCUGCACUCCUUAUUUGAAGGUGAGGAUUUAACCCAGCAUUUUCUGGAAUUCGACAUAAAUGGAGCCUUUCAGAAAAUCAUGUUUGAUAUAAAACGUUUUAGGGAAGUACAUAUUGAAGAACAACCUGCCGAUAUUGUUCUAAGCAGAAAGAAGGCGAAAGAAGCCCAGAUAAUAGUACCGAUCGUUCAAUCAAGAUCUUUUGAAAACAUUAAUUUGAAGAUAAACAAGACAAUUAACCUGCAAGGUAGCUGGAUUUACGGUUGUUGCAUGCUGCCAGAUGGUAGAUUGGUGUUUACCUACAACCAUGAAGGAAAAUUAAGAGUAUUCAACGAUCAAGGAUCAAAAGAAUUUGAGAUGAAGAUACCAUGUGGAGCGUUUGAUUUGGUAUACAUUAGCAAUGACAAUACAUUGGUUGUAACAUCCGGUGAAUCAUGCAAGCAAUGUCUUUCCAUUGUAGACUUGAAGAAGAAAAAAAUUAAGAAAACAAUAUCACUGAGUUCGGAUAACUAUGGCAUGGUAUUAAAGGACAAUCAAUUGAUUUAUUCCGCCUUCAACAAAGGUAUACGAAUGAUAAAUCUACACGACGAGUCUUUGACCGACAUUGUCCGAGAAGAAAUGCCAACGGAAGGUUACACUGCGAUAUUUAAAGACAACAUUUAUCAUACAAACAGAAUAAGUCACACUGUUAAAUGUUACAACUUACAAGGUGAAAUACAAUGGACAUUCAAAAAUGAAGACGUUCUGAAAAAUCCCCUUGGUAUUGAUGUAGAUAGUGAUGGUAACUUGUAUGUGGCAGGGAUUCAUUCGAACAAUGUUGUUAUUAUCUCCAACGAUGGACAAAUGUAUCGAGAGCUAUUGGCAGCAGGUGUUGGUUUUCGAUAUCCCAUCGCACUCCGUUAUUAUGGACAUAAGAAACAAUUGCUAGUGGCAAAUAUUCACGACGAGGCUCGACUGUUUGAUUUGAUUUAACAUGUUUACAACUUCUCUCUCUAUCUUCUGUUCAUUAUUCGAUAUCAUUAACGACGACAUUAUUAGAAGCCGUAUACUAUUGCAUUUUACCCGUCUCGUUCCUUCCAGGAUAAUGAGAAGCAUCAUAAGCUAAUGUGAAAAUGGACUAUGGAAUCUUUAAAAGGUGAAAAAUA
Molecule: long non-coding RNA, 5877 nt
Filed under: Mytilus galloprovincialis (Mediterranean mussel)
Lineage: Eukaryota; Metazoa; Mollusca; Bivalvia; Mytilida; Mytilidae
Source: RNAcentral